This is a long non-coding RNA of Stegodyphus dumicola, 499 nucleotides long. The record is from RefSeq and is a predicted model, not a curated record. Lineage: Eukaryota; Metazoa; Arthropoda; Arachnida; Araneae; Eresidae.
CGGGGAAUCCUUUCCCGUGAAGAUUUCUCUUUUUGGGUUGCUGUGCUUGGCGUUCUUCCGAUCAUCUUACUUCGCCAAUUUUUUCAAAAUUGCGCCCGGUACUAAAGUGGCUGCACAACUGGGACUACGAAAAAGAAGAGAGCGAAAACAAGAAGCAUCACAGCGUGAUCGUCACAGUACCUCUUCCGAAGUCGAAAAAUUCCCUACGAAGAUGAGAAAUAUGGAAUGGCUGCUGAGUAUGAGAAGAAAGCAGAACCUUGGAGGAUAAAGCACUAGAUCCAACAGAUUUUCCCUCCCGGUAUUGUACCCUACAACUACAGUAUGAAAAAUUUGAACGUAAAGAAUGCCAGUGUACUUACGGAGGGGUCCUCUCCCAUAACUUUAGAAUGUUAAAUCAUUAUAAGAUCAUUUGAUUUCACAGGAUAGAAAAUUACUCCAGAUUUUCCGAUGGAGACGUGAUUAACUAAAGGUGAGAAAACAAAAUCUUUCUAUCUUUUCG